UUUAUACAGGCAUGUAACAUGAAAUAGCUUAUUGCUUUUUAAGAGAGGUUGUAGACUUUAUGAUAGGUAGGGUUGGCUCAGGUGGAGAGGAUGUCUCAGAGGUCGAACACAGAAGCUGGUGAACAGCUUGGCAUGACCAAAGUGGAAGGAAGGUAGGGGUUGGAAAUAAAGUUGGAGCACCUACAGAACAAGGAAGUAGCUGAACAGAAUGAAGCAAAAAAUAAGAAGGUAUAGAAGGUUCUCUGUGAUGAAGAAAGAUUAUGAGGAGGAAGCAAAACUGUCAAGUCACCCAGGAGACUAUUAUGGUAAUCCAAGAGAGAGAAACAGGGCUUGGACUGGAAUGGUCAUACCGGAAGAGCAGCAGGGAGGAAAACAGGAUGGUUAUCAGCACUCAACUAGGAAUAAAGAAAAAAAAGAAGAGUGAAUAAAAAUAACUUUAAGGUUUUAUAUUUCAAUGAUAUUAAAAAAUGGUGGUCAUUGACAGAAAUACAAAUUACAUGUGAAAGUCAGAUGGAAAGUAAAAACACAUUGCUUUAUAUGUGGUAAGUCUGAAGUGGUGGCAAAUGAUGUUUAUUUUAGUUAAUUGAAGAUACUUUUUUAUAUAAAAAGCCAAUACAUAAAAAUAUAAUAUUUCUCUUUGGGUAUGUUAGGAAGAGUAAGACAUUUAGAAUUUGGAGUCCUUAAUUCAAAUCUUAGGUCUACCAAAUUCUGGAUGUCUGAUCCCUGGCCUCAGUUUUCUCAUCUGUAAACUGAGUUAAUAAUGAUAAUUAUAUUUACACACACACAUAUGAAACAGAGUAAUUCUAAGGACUAAAAUGAAAAUGUUUUUGAAAGCACUAUUUGCAUAGCAAUAUUACUUAUUAUAGCACCAGAUAGUCCCCCUUUUUAUGAGCGAGGACUAAAAGAAAUACCCUUACUACUCAAAAGAUUUAAAAUGUCCGUGAAGGUAUCAUAUGAACUCGUUGUUUUUAAUAUAUGCACAGACAGAUAUAGAAACAAAUACAUAGAGUUGUGUGUUGUGUAUAUACAUACAUAUAUUUCCUACCUCAUUUCACUUAGAGGGCCUAGAAGCAAGGAUACUUCAGUAGUAAUGAGCAAACCUAGCCUACAUCUUGGUUUCCAAAUAUAAUUUUCCAAGAGAAGAAAAUAUAACUUGUUGGGAAAAUGGCUGAUAUGAGUAAGAACAGGCUCAGAAAAAUGGUGAGGAAUGUUGCCCUGAAGCAGCUCUCACUGACUGAAUACAGAGAAGUUUGAGCAGCAAAAUAACAAUAAAAAUAAAUAAUAACUCAUGGAAUAAAAGAAAUAUCUAUGGGUCUUUAGUAAUAGAAAUAAAUAAUUGAAUAAAUAAGUAAAUUAAUGGAGGAGGAGGGACAGACUUUUUUAUAGUAGAAUUUCAUUGAAUAAAUCUAGAAGAAAUAUGGAAAUUAUAAAUAGCACAAGGGCAAUCAGCAAUCUAGCUUGUGUUCAAACUAUCAAAAAUUGUAUUAGCAAACUCUUCAAUUUUAGAAUUCUGUAAAAAUUAACCCAUUGUUUUUAAGUCAUCAUAGAGGGAAAAACUUGAGACACAAUUGCCUUUUAUAAUUUAGAAUGACUUUUGCUGUCUCUUGAACUCCCAGGUGUAUUUAGAAAAAAGAUUAUGUUAUGGAAUUGCCAUUUUUAGGUGUUUAUUCUAAAGAUAAAAUGGAAUUACAAGUGCAGAACAGAAUUUUUUUUAAACGUAUGUCUGUAAGUUUUACAUAAAUAAUUAUUUGAGGAGAUGGCACAUGCAAGGAACUUCUAUAUAGUAUACUAAAUGUUAUAAACAAACCUAUCAGAACACCAUUUUGUUCAUGAUAGUACUAUUUUUCAAAUAUUUGAAGUUGGCCUUUUAAACUCUAUGUCUGCAUGAUACUGAACGUUGUACUUUUGAGAUAUAUAAUAUUGGCAUUGAUGCAAUGCAUUUCUUAUUUUAUCAUUUUAUUCUUGAUUCUUUUUGAGUAAAAUAAAUUUAAAAGACCCUUUUUUGAGGUAAUGGGUGGAAAGUAGAUUUUAAAAAUUUUGUUGAUGAUAUUAACUACAUGAUAUUUAAAAUAACAAUUGCAACUGACAUUCAUUGACCACUUUCUAUCUCCCUUCUGGUUUGCAAAAUUAUAACUUUAUUCAGUUUGAAUUACUUAGAUAACUGUCUAUUCUUCCACUUCUUUUUGCCAUGAGUCUGUGCAGGUAUCUGUAUAAUAUGCUCUUUCUGUUUCAGUGUUAAUAAUUUUUUAACUGAGAUCCACUAUUUUCCACUUUGAACUAGGGUUCAGUAGGAUGAAAACUAACUUUGUCUUUUACUUAUCACACUUGAUUCUCUUAAUAAUUUCCAUAAGCAGGCAGCUGCUCUUCACAUACAGAUAGUACUCUUAAAACUAACAAAUCACUCCCUUGGUCCCUCCUAAAAAGACACUCCAUUUCUCAUUUUAAUUAACUUUGCUACAGCAUGCCCAAACUCAGUACAAUUUUUUCUUCUGUUUUCUUUGUCUUUAAUAUUGUCUUUAAUAUUUCACUUGUCUCUAUCAAUUUGUCUUGGUAAAUAUUUAUAUAUGUAAUAUCUGUUCACUUUUGAAAACGAAAUUCUCAGUUUUAGUCAAGCGUAAUGAUACUACAAGUUGAGCGAACUGUGAUCAAAGAGCAUGAUAAUUCCUGUAUGAAUGCUCCAUGCAUGUUCUUUACAUAACUAAGCAGUAUAGUGACAACUGAGUGUGUUUACCUGGGAGAACUUUAGGUAUUUUCCCUAAGCCCAUGUACUUUGAGGUCUUAAUGUGCAAGAUGAGAACAACAUCUGGCCUGGAACAGCCUAAUUCCCUGAUGGCCUAGGAUUUGACAAGCUUGUUAUGUGCCUAAUAACCAUAGGUUUCUAUAUCACAUCACCCUUGCCUAAGACACAAUAGAUACUCUACUGAUCCUAGAUAUCCAAUUACUAUUUUUGUGUCCUAAACUUAAACUUCAAAUUUGUCGCAAGUUAGUCUUCUGAAUCAAACCUAAUGAGAAGUUUCCUUAAGCAACGAAUAGAUUGUAUCAAGGCAGAAACAGUUAUUUGAGAAUGAAACAGAACCAGAGCUUUGAACACCUUGCUUAUAGCUAUUUUCAAUUUUGUAAAUUAACAAGGAGAUUAAAGAUAUUGUGAAGAAUGAGAUAAAAAAAAUUCUGGAAAAAUAUUUGUAUCUUCCUUUGUACCAUUUAUAUUUAAAUGUUAAUGUACUGUGUUUCAAUCUCAAAAUCACACAAAUGUUUAAAAAUGAUGACAGCUUUUAAUGAAUAGUUUUAUUAACUACUAAUCCUGCUGUUUUCAAUUCAAAUUUCUUAGUCUUUGGAAGGCUUGAAACUUUUCUCUUGGAUACCUGACAUCUACUACUUUAGGCUGGCAAUCCUCUGUCAUUACUCCUAUCUGCACUGUUUUCCUUUCCCCUUCAUCUUGAGCCUUGUUCACACUCAGUGCCUGCUGGUGGCAUGUUUAGCUGCCCUGAAGCUUAGCCUCUGUAACUUUCCUGUUCUCUUUCGAUUUGACUUUGAUGAAUGUCACUUAAGCUCCUACGUGAGAAAACUGUACACACCAGUGACCCAGGCAUCUGAAUUGUCCGGGAAUAGACUGCAUUACUAAAAUCUAGGUUCUAUUCCUUGUUAGACAUAUUAGCGUCCCAAUGGCUAUAAAAUAUUUGAUCCCUGAUAUCUGUAGGUUUCUCUUGUUUGAAAGCUGCUAAAAAGCAUGCACAUCAUUGGAAUGCAAAAGUAAAACAAGAAGUAGAAGUGUGAAGCUCAUUUAGACUUUUAAAAACUGGUCUAAGUGAUUGUGGCACGUCAAAGUACUUUAUAGACUCCUAAGUGGAGACAAACCUGUAAAACAGAACACCAAAGGCACAACUCUGUUUCAAUAAGCAGUAUAUUGUAACUGAGUUUAAAGCCCCCUAACAUUCCUGUACACUAAAGCACAGUAGAUUUAAAUGGGAUCUUUGUGAUUCCACAUAUCCUAAAGAAGCAGUUUUUCUCUGUGUGAGACCACAUGGAUUUUCAUAGAAGAUUCAGGGAUGAAAACACAUCCGGGCAAGAUAUAAGAGUGAAAUGUAUAGACAAAAGGAUUAAGGAUUCAAAGGCUUUUUUCUUCUUUUUCCCCUUUCCCUCUUUGAACUCAACUAUCAUUUAGAGCCACAGAAUGGAUAGGUCAAGAGUUUGACCGAACAGAGUUGUAAAGUCAACUAGGAAAAUAUUUUUACCAUAUAAAAGAAAAAAUAGAAUACUAUCCUGAGAUGUCACAACUAUCAGACCAUAGGGUGUAAUGCAACUUGAUUAGAGGUUUAUUUUUUCUAAUUAGCUCAUUUUGGAGUAGAUUCUUUGAGAAUACUCAUCCUUGGAAUUGUUAUGAUAUGAUGUAUAUGCAUAUAUGUACGUAUGUGGACAUAUUUAUCUAUAUUCUAUACAGAUCUAUUUAUCAAAAUGCAUUUCCAUUUUUAUGUUUGAAUAAUGACUCUCCCUUCACUUUUUUCUCCCAGAGUUUUCAACGUAUUGAAUUUACAGUAUUGCAGUUUUACGGUAGUACGUACUUCAAAUGUACUUAAGGGAAUGAUCAUUUGAAGAUUUGGCUAAGGGAUAGAUCCUUUAAAUAAAUAUGUGAAGUUGAUAGAAAGUUUUUUAGAUUAAAGAGUACUGAAAUUUAAAGUAUAGACUUAUUUCACAGAACUACUUUGUACCCUCGAACUAUACCAUGUGCAUAAUGGUAGCUUCUCAUCCAGACAGAGUCCAUGAGAUGAUGACUCUAACAGGAACAUGGGAUCUGACAUUAGAUCUGUGGGUUGAGUGGAGAGAACUGAUCUAGAGUAGAUCAUACUGGGUCCUACAGGGUAUCCAGGCAUGAUAUCACAUAGUUGCUUCAUCCGCAAUGUAUGAAACAGUCAACAUUGGGGUUCUCACUCCAGCAGGGGGAUACAGCAAUGGGGAAUUCCAGCAGCCAUCAAUACUUGGGAAUUAAGCAAAGAGGGGCUGAUCAUUGGUUUUUGGCCAUCAUGAUACUACCCGCUGAUAUUGAUUAUGGGACAAGGCUUCAGUAUUGGGAAAGAAAAAUGUUGUGAUGAUUCUACCUUGGGAGAUGGUACUUACAAACCUCUCUAUGGCAGCCCUCCAGCUGGGGAGAUGUACUAGAGUUUUGGUCAUCCAGGCCAAAUUUACAAGCAAGAGUUAAUCCUCUUCACUGACACCAGGAAAAGGAAAAUGGAGUUAUAUUUUGAGGGCAACUUAAUUUUUGGUUGUUUCUAGAUAUAGAUGAAGGUAUAAGGACUUGUUCCUAAAUGGUUAGUAAGGUAGGAGAACAGGAAAGCAUAGUUUUCUGAAGAUAACUUCAUUGUGAGUCAACAUUAGAUGAAAGUAAAAAAAAAGUUUGACCUUUUAUUCUGAAAUUAGAGGUGAAUGGAGACAACAGGUGAGAUGUAUCAAGGGAUCCAGGCAUGAGAAACAGAUCCUGAGAAGAAUAAGAGCAUAUAGGCUCUAUACUCAACUUUUUUACAAUGAUUUAUUAUAUUAUUGAAUUCUCACAAUGGGGUAGAUAUUCUUAAUCUCAUUUUUUAGGGGAGAAAAAUUAUGUUUGAAAAGGUUCAUUUAUUUUUACUCCAAAUUUUAUGGCAAUAAAUACCUUGUGUGACAGACUCCAGAUGCCAGAUUCCAAAACUCAUGCCUUUUCUCUAAAUCAUGCUGGUCUAUGCCACCACAUAAUAUCUGAUUUGUAGUAUUUUUAACUUAAAUUGUAGGAUGGAUAAUAAACAAAACUUAGAUCCAUCCGAUUCAAAAAGAGAAAAAAGAAUUGAGUUGAGAAAAAAUAAUCAUAGCUAGCUUCCUGUGCAAUGCUAUAUACAAGACACUGUCUUAAGUACUUAAGAUGCAGCGACUUAUUUAAUCUGUUCACAACACCAUGAGGUAGAAACAAUUAUAACUCCCUUUUGUCAAAUGAAAAAAGGUUUAAGAAGGAAGGAAGAGGUAAGACUUUAGACGACCUGAAUCUGUGCUUCUUUAACUGACCUUAUAAUACUCUAAAGGACAGUAGAUGGGAUGAAAAAUAUGUAUCACCAAGUUACACAAAAAUAUUUCUAACCUUUCAAGGAACAGACAAACAAAAUGGAGGGGAGUCUCUGAAGAAUUAUCAUGUAGUUUACGCUACAGCAAGGUCUCUAAUAAUAAAAUCACAGGAAGAAGAAGGACAGAAGAGCUAGAGUUAUCAAGUGCUGAAACUGUCUAUACUACUAGCAUCUCCAAUGAUCAAAACAGCAUCAAGGCCGGUAUCUAAGUCUUAGAUGUCAUCAAGAGGAAUCUCUUGUAACAGUGAAGGAGAGGUGAGGUAGAUUCCGACCCAAGGUAUCAUAUGAUUGGCUAGUUUGGAGUUAGUUUAUUAAACUGCAAUGAAAGUAGCUCUAAAAUUUCCUGAAAGUUUUUUUGUUUGUUUAUUUGUUUUUUUUUUUUGUUUUUCACUGCAAGCAUAGAGAGAACUCAAGGACAAAAUUCAAAGUAAAAUGAAAAAGGAAGGCUACUGAGGUAUUACCGACGACAAACAUGAAAAGUUGGGCAGUGCGUAGAGGUCUCUGAAUGCCUCUUCUGCUCUGCUGAACAGUGAGGUCAAGGUAUCUGGAAGACACAUUUAUACUACAGGAAAAUUGAUCCCCCCUUAUCUUAGUGCAGAAUAAUAAUAAACUAAACUAUAUCAAGUUCCAGAGCAAGGAUAAAAAAACCUUCUACCUUAUCAGAGAUGGUUUUUAACACUUGAUCUCCAGAUCAGCUAAAAUCGAAUGUUAUUAAAAUAGAAAGGGCAUAUUUCAGUAAAAUUGACAUUUUAAAAUGUCAGUGGUUAAUGAAAGCCACAGUCUCUCUUAUUGAUAAUUCUUUUUUUUAGGGAGAAUUUAGGACAAAAUUAAACUGUCAUGACAUACUUUCUGGUCUACUAAAUAUAACAUGACCUUUGUAUUUAGUAAAACUUGACAAAAUCAGAUAAGAACUUUGCCAUGUAGUUUGAGUU
Molecule: long non-coding RNA, 7012 nt
Organism: Sapajus apella (tufted capuchin)
Lineage: Eukaryota; Metazoa; Chordata; Mammalia; Primates; Cebidae
Exons: 2
Source: RefSeq, a predicted model, not a curated record